UAGGGAAUCUUCGGCAAUGGACGAAAGUCUGACCGAGCAACGCCGCGUGAGUGAAGAAGGUUUUCGGAUCGUAAAACUCUGUUGGUAGAGAAGAACGUUGGUGAGAGUGGAAAGCUCAUCAAGUGACGGUAACUACCCAGAAAGGGCGGCUAACUACGUGUCAAG
This 165-nucleotide ribosomal RNA is filed under the name uncultured bacterium. RNAcentral describes it as "partial 16S rRNA". It matches the Rfam family "Bacterial small subunit ribosomal RNA", at positions 355 to 512 of the family's 1533-position model. The record is from RNAcentral.